Long non-coding RNA from Haliotis rubra (blacklip abalone), 481 nucleotides. RefSeq lists it as uncharacterized. The record is from RefSeq and is a predicted model, not a curated record. The transcript is spliced from 5 exons. NCBI's taxonomy places the organism in Eukaryota, Metazoa, Mollusca, Gastropoda, Lepetellida, Haliotidae.
UUUCGUCAUGGAUGUAGAGUAAGACGCGAGAAUGAUCAUAGUAGAGUAAGAGGCGAGAUUUACUAGCUGGGACCACUCGUGAGGCCGGAGAAAGCUAAUGACACUAUUCAGAAAUAUUCUCAACUGCUCUCCCAUCCCGCGAUGGAUAAAGAACGAUGUAGUUUUUGUGCAACACAUGACAUCGCCGACAGCUCUGCGUUAGUAGUCCCACCGCUCUUGGUCAUAAAGUUGUCUGGAGUCAAGAAAUGUGUUCGGAAGCUCAGGCUGUCAACGUAAACAACGCCGUGCUGUUUACUUGCGUUGCUGUAUCAUGAAUGGUGAAUGACAUGCCAAUUCGUCAUGGUGGUCCUCAACACAAUACAAAGGUAAACAGUUCAGUUCACGACGGAUGUCAUCGGUGGGACAGGAUACGCUCACCUUUUCGCGAACACGUGGUACUAUCACGAUUUGAUAGUUAUUUAUAAAGUCAUGCUCAGGAUAU